This is a long non-coding RNA of Vanessa tameamea, 328 nucleotides long. RefSeq lists it as uncharacterized. NCBI's taxonomy places the organism in Eukaryota, Metazoa, Arthropoda, Insecta, Lepidoptera, Nymphalidae. The transcript is spliced from 2 exons. The record is from RefSeq and is a predicted model, not a curated record.
CUAGUUUUAUUCGCUUGCAUUAGCUUUGGUUGACACACGUGUUAGUGAGAUAUCUGUGUUUUUACAAUAACUCUGUGUAACUCUUUCAUUAAUUUUCAGUGCAAAUAGUUCGUUUUUAUGGUUUUUAGGUUUUGCUAACAUAAUUCGGUUACGGUUAUGGGUUAAGAGAGAAUCCACUACUAUUAUGCCUUCAAAUUAAAUUAAGCCUGUAAUCUCGACCGCACCGAUCAAUCUCCAUCGUGUCUUCUCCAUCGCACGUGACAUUGGCGAAAUAAUCUGUGCACUCUUGGCACAAAUAAAAGCCAAAACUAAAAAAAAAAAAAGACAA